Molecule: ribosomal RNA, 271 nt
Filed under: uncultured bacterium
Lineage: Bacteria
Description: partial 16S ribosomal RNA
Rfam family: Bacterial small subunit ribosomal RNA
Source: RNAcentral
UACGAAGGGUGCAAGCGUUAAUCGGAAUUACUGGGCGUAAAGCGCGCGUAGGUGGUUCAGCAAGUUGGAUGUGAAAGCCUUGGGCUCAACCUGGGAACUGCAUCCAAAACUACUGAGCUAGAGUACGGUAGAGGGUAGUGGAAUUUCCUGUGUAGCGGUGAAAUGCGUAGAUAUAGGAAGGAACACCAGUGGCGAAGGCAGCCUCCUGGGCCGGCACUGACGCUCAUGCACGAAAGCGUGGGGAGCAAACAGGAUUAGAAACCCCAGUAGU